RNAcentral lists this ribosomal RNA (459 nucleotides) under uncultured bacterium. RNAcentral's name for it is "partial 16S ribosomal RNA". It matches the Rfam family "Bacterial small subunit ribosomal RNA", at positions 338 to 795 of the family's 1533-position model. The record is from RNAcentral.
CCUACGGGGCGCAGCAGUGAGGAAUAUUGGUCAAUGGUCGGGAGACUGAACCAGCCAAGCCGCGUGAGGGAGGAAGGUACAGAGUAUCGUAAACCUCUUUUGUCAGGGAACAAAGACUGGGACGCGUCCCCGGAUGAGUGUACCUGAAGAAAAAGCAUCGGCUAACUCCGUGCCAGCAGCCGCGGUAAUACGGAGGAUGCGAGCGUUAUCCGGAUUUAUUGGGGUUAAAGGGUGUGCAGGCGGUCUGUUAAGUCAGCGGUCAAAGCCCGGGGCUCAACCCCGGCCCGCCGUUGAAACUGGCAGUCUGGAGUGGGAGAGAAGUAUGCGGAAUGCGCGGUGUAGCGGUGAAAUGCAUAGAUAUCGCGCAGAACUCCGAUUGCGAAGGCAGCAUGCCGGCUCCACACUGACGCUGAGGCACGAAAGCGUGGGUAUCGAACAGGAUUAGAUACCCGGGUAGUC